UAACCUGGUGAACCAAAACAUUGUAGUAACCAGAGGAAAGGAAAUCAAACGAGACUCCAUAAGUAGCGGCGAGCGAACGUGGACCAGCCAACAUACAAUUAUAUUCCAUUUCAAAACCUUGGAACAGGUUAUACAAGUAUUUGCUCUGCAAAUACGGCCACUCGGCUCUGCCGAGAACCAGAGAGGGUGAUAGUCCCGUAGAGUGAAAUUAGUUGUGUUUUUAGUAGAAUUGGUUUAUAAACUGAUUUGGUAUUAAGAAUGGAGAACCAUCUCCUGGGCUAAGUAUGGCAUGUUCAGCGAUAGUGAAUAGUACUGUAAAGGAAACGAUGAAAAAGUAAGUAGAUGACUGGUGAAAUAGAACCUGAAUUAGCACUCAUAUAAGCAGUCAGAGCAAUAUGAUAUUGUGAUGGCGUACCUUUUGUAUAAUGGGGCAGCAACUUAUUCUAGC
This 448-nucleotide ribosomal RNA is filed under the name Pectobacterium carotovorum subsp. carotovorum. RNAcentral describes it as "partial 23S ribosomal RNA". It matches the Rfam family "Bacterial large subunit ribosomal RNA", at positions 181 to 637 of the family's 2925-position model. Lineage: Bacteria; Pseudomonadati; Pseudomonadota; Gammaproteobacteria; Enterobacterales; Pectobacteriaceae. The record is from RNAcentral.